This 349-nucleotide unclassified non-coding RNA is filed under the name soil metagenome. Its description in RNAcentral is "partial contains 5.8S ribosomal RNA, internal transcribed spacer 2, and large subunit ribosomal RNA". The stretch from base 1 to 120 matches the Rfam family "5.8S ribosomal RNA", at positions 35 to 154 of the family's 154-position model. The record is from RNAcentral.
GAUGAAGAACGCAGUGAAAUGCGAUAACUAAUGUGAAUUGCAGAGUUCCGUGAAUCAUCGAGUCUUUGAACGCACAUUGCGCCCCCUGGUAUUCCGGGGGGCAUGCCUGUCCGAGCGUCAUUGCUGCCCAUCAAGCACGGCUUGUGUGUUGGGUCCUCGUCCCCCCCGGGGGACGUGCCCGAAAGGCAGCGGCGGCACCGCGUCCGGUCCUCGAGCGUAUGGGGCUUUGUCACCCGCUCUGCAGGCCCGGCCGGCGCUGGCCGACGCGAAAGCAACCAUUUUUUCUCCAGGUUGACCUCGGAUCAGGUAGGGAUACCCGCUGAACUUAAGCAUAUCAAUAAGCGGAGGA